GGGCUUGUAGCUCAGUUGGUUAGAGCGUGCGUCUGAUAAGCGCAAGGUCGAUGGUUCAAGUCCAUUCAGGCCCACCA
This 77-nucleotide transfer RNA is filed under the name Clostridium sp. CAG:628. RNAcentral describes it as "transfer RNA-Ile(GAT)". It matches the Rfam family "tRNA". From Rfam's summary of the family: Transfer RNA (tRNA) molecules are approximately 80 nucleotides in length. Their secondary structure includes four short double-helical elements and three loops (D, anti-codon, and T loops). Lineage: Bacteria; Bacillati; Bacillota; Clostridia; Eubacteriales; Clostridiaceae. RNAcentral also lists the same sequence under 3 other names. The record is from RNAcentral.